GACGUAGGGGGCCAGCGUUGUUCGGAAUCACUGGGCGUAAAGGGUGCGUAGGCGGGUCUUUAAGUCAGGGGUGAAAUCCUGGAGCUCAACUCCAGAACUGCCUUUGAUACUGAGGAUCUUGAGUCCGGGAGAGGUGAGUGGAACUGCGAGUGUAGAGGUGAAAUUCGUAGAUAUUCGCAAGAACACCAGUGGCGAAGGCGGCUCACUGGCCCGGUACUGACGCUGAGGCACGAAAGCGUGGGGAGCAAACAGG
This 253-nucleotide ribosomal RNA is filed under the name uncultured bacterium. RNAcentral's name for it is "partial 16S ribosomal RNA". It matches the Rfam family "Bacterial small subunit ribosomal RNA", at positions 524 to 776 of the family's 1533-position model. The record is from RNAcentral.